UUAAGCGACUAAGCGUACACGGUGGAUGCCCUGGCAGUCAGAGGCGAUGAAGGACGUGCUAAUCUGCGAAAAGCGUCGGUAAGGUGAUAUGAACCGUUAUAGCCGGCGAUGUCCGAAUGGGGAAACCCAGUGUGAUUCGUCACACUAUCGUUAACUGAAUACAUAGGUUAACGAGGCGAACCGGGGGAACUGAAACAUCUAAGUACCCCGAGGAAAAGAAAUCAACCGAGAUUCCCCCAGUAGCGGCGAGCGAACGGGGAGCAGCCCAGAGUCUGAAUCAGCUUGUGUGUUAGUGGAACGGUCUGGAAAGUCCGACGGUACAGGGUGAUAGUCCCGUACACCAAAAUGCACAGGCUGUGAACUCGAAGAGUAGGGCGGGACACGUGGUAUCCUGUCUGAAUAUGGGGGGACCAUCCUCCAAGGCUAAAUACUCCUGACUGACCGAUAGUGAACCAGUACCGUGAGGGAAAGGCGAAAAGAACCCCGGCGAGGGGAGUGAAAAAGAACCUGAAACCGUGUACGUACAAGCAGUGGGAGCACCUUCGGGUGUGACUGCGUACCUUUUGUAUAAUGGGUCAGCGACUUAUAUUCUGUAGCAAGGUUAACCGUAUAGGGGAGCCGCAGGGAAACCGAGUCUUAACUGGGCGUUAAGUUGCAGGGUAUAGACCCGAAACCCGGUGAUCUAGCCAUGGGCAGGUUGAAGGUUGGGUAACACUAACUGGAGGACCGAACCGACUAAUGUUGAAAAAUUAGCGGAUGACUUGUGGCUGGGGGUGAAAGGCCAAUCAAACCGGGAGAUAGCUGGUUCUCCCCGAAAGCUAUUUAGGUAGCGCCUCGUGAACUCAUCUUCGGGGGUAGAGCACUGUUUCGGCUAGGGGGUCAUCCCGACUUACCAACCCGAUGCAAACUACGAAUACCGAAGAAUGUUAUCACGGGAGACACACGGCGGGUGCUAACGUCCGUCGUGAAGAGGGAAACAACCCAGACCGCCAGCUAAGGUCCCAAAGUCAUGGUUAAGUGGGAAACGAUGUGGGAAGGCACAGACAGCCAGGAUGUUGGCUUAGAAGCAGCCAUCAUUUAAAGAAAGCGUAAUAGCUCACUGGUCGAGUCGGCCUGCGCGGAAGAUGUAACGGGGCUAAACCAUGCACCGAAGCUGCGGCAGCGACACUAUGUGUUGUUGGGUAGGGGAGCGUUCUGUAAGCCUGCGAAGGUGUGCUGUGAGGCAUGCUGGAGGUAUCAGAAGUGCGAAUGCUGACAUAAGUAACGAUAAAGCGGGUGAAAAGCCCGCUCGCCGGAAGACCAAGGGUUCCUGUCCAACGUUAAUCGGGGCAGGGUGAGUCGACCCCUAAGGCGAGGCCGAAAGGCGUAGUCGAUGGGAAACAGGUUAAUAUUCCUGUACUUGGUGUUACUGCGAAGGGGGGACGGAGAAGGCUAUGUUAGCCGGGCGACGGUUGUCCCGGUUUAAGCAUGUAGGCUGGUUGUCCAGGCAAAUCCGGAUAAUCAAGGCUGAGGUGUGAUGACGAGGCACUACGGUGCUGAAGUAACAAAUGCCCUGCUUCCAGGAAAAGCCUCUAAGCAUCAGGUAACAUCAAAUCGUACCCCAAACCGACACAGGUGGUCAGGUAGAGAAUACCAAGGCGCUUGAGAGAACUCGGGUGAAGGAACUAGGCAAAAUGGUGCCGUAACUUCGGGAGAAGGCACGCUGGUGUGUAGGUGAAGUCCCUGCGGAUGGAGCUGAGACCAGUCGAAGAUACCAGCUGGCUGCAACUGUUUAUUAAAAACACAGCACUGUGCAAACACGAAAGUGGACGUAUACGGUGUGACGCCUGCCCGGUGCCGGAAGGUUAAUUGAUGGGGUUAUCCGUAAGGAGAAGCUCUUGAUCGAAGCCCCGGUAAACGGCGGCCGUAACUAUAACGGUCCUAAGGUAGCGAAAUUCCUUGUCGGGUAAGUUCCGACCUGCACGAAUGGCGUAAUGAUGGCCAGGCUGUCUCCACCCGAGACUCAGUGAAAUUGAACUCGCUGUGAAGAUGCAGUGUACCCGCGGCAAGACGGAAAGACCCCGUGAACCUUUACUAUAGCUUGACACUGAACAUUGAGCCUUGAUGUGUAGGAUAGGUGGGAGGCUUUGAAGCGUGGACGCCAGUCUGCGUGGAGCCAACCUUGAAAUACCACCCUUUAAUGUUUGAUGUUCUAACGUUGGCCCCUGACCGGGGUUGCGGACAGUGUCUGGUGGGUAGUUUGACUGGGGCGGUCUCCUCCCAAAGCGUAACGGAGGAGCACGAAGGUUAGCUAAUCCUGGUCGGACAUCAGGAGGUUAGUGCAAUGGCAUAAGCUAGCUUGACUGCGAGCGUGACGGCGCGAGCAGGUGCGAAAGCAGGUCAUAGUGAUCCGGUGGUUCUGAAUGGAAGGGCCAUCGCUCAACGGAUAAAAGGUACUCCGGGGAUAACAGGCUGAUACCGCCCAAGAGUUCAUAUCGACGGCGGUGUUUGGCACCUCGAUGUCGGCUCAUCACAUCCUGGGGCUGAAGUAGGUCCCAAGGGUAUGGCUGUUCGCCAUUUAAAGUGGUACGCGAGCUGGGUUUAGAACGUCGUGAGACAGUUCGGUCCCUAUCUGCCGUGGGCGCUGGAGAAUUGAGGGGGGCUGCUCCUAGUACGAGAGGACCGGAGUGGACGCAUCACUGGUGUUCGGGUUGUCAUGCCAAUGGCACUGCCCGGUAGCUAAAUGCGGAAGAGAUAAGUGCUGAAAGCAUCUAAGCACGAAACUUGCCCCGAGAUGAGUUCUCCCUGAGACUUUAAGUCUCCUGAAGGAACGUUAAAGACGAUGACGUUGAUAGGCCGGGUGUGUAAGCGCAGCGAUGCGUUGAGCUAACCGGUACUAAUGAACCGUGAGGCUUAACCUU
Molecule: ribosomal RNA, 2900 nt
Filed under: Klebsiella pneumoniae
Lineage: Bacteria; Pseudomonadati; Pseudomonadota; Gammaproteobacteria; Enterobacterales; Enterobacteriaceae
Description: bacterial LSU rRNA
Rfam family: Bacterial large subunit ribosomal RNA
Source: RNAcentral